UACGAAGGGGGCUAGCGUUGCUCGGAAUCACUGGGCGUAAAGCGCACGUAGGCCGAUUGUUAAGUCAGGGGUGAAAUCCUGGAGCUCAACUCCAGAACUGCCCUUGAUACUGACGGUCUCGAGUCCGGGAGAGGUGAGUGGAACUGCGAGUGUAGAGGUGAAAUUCGUAGAUAUCAGGAGGAACACCGACGGCGAAGGCAGCACUCUGGGCCGGUACUGACGCUGAGGAGCGAAAGCAUGGGGAGCGAACAGG
Molecule: ribosomal RNA, 253 nt
Filed under: uncultured bacterium
Lineage: Bacteria
Description: partial 16S ribosomal RNA
Rfam family: Bacterial small subunit ribosomal RNA
Source: RNAcentral